GACGGGGGGGGCAAGUGUUCUUCGGAAUUACUGGGCUUAAAGGGUGCGUAGGCGGCGCGGAAAGUUGGGUGUGAAAUCCCUCGGCUCAACCGAGGAACUGCGCCCAAUACUACCGUGCUUGAGGGAGAUAGAGGUGAGCGGAACUUAGGGUGGAGCGGUGAAAUGCGUUGAUAUCCUAAGGAACACCGGUGGCGAAAGCGGCUCACUGGAUCUCUUCUGACGCUGAGGCACGAAAGCUAGGGUAGCGAACGGG
Molecule: ribosomal RNA, 253 nt
Filed under: uncultured bacterium
Lineage: Bacteria
Description: partial 16S ribosomal RNA
Rfam family: Bacterial small subunit ribosomal RNA
Source: RNAcentral